This 246-nucleotide ribosomal RNA is filed under the name uncultured bacterium. RNAcentral's name for it is "partial 16S ribosomal RNA". It matches the Rfam family "Bacterial small subunit ribosomal RNA", at positions 523 to 769 of the family's 1533-position model. The record is from RNAcentral.
AUACGUAGGGGGCAAGCGUUAUCCGGAAUCACUGGGCGUAAAGGGUGCGUAGGUGGCUUAUCAAGCCAGAGGUGAAAGGCAUUGGCUCAACCGUAGUAAGCUCUUGAAACUGGGAAACUUGAGUGCAGGAGAGGAAAGUGGAAUUCCUAGUGUAGCGGUGAAAUGCGUAGAUAUUAGGAGGAACACCAGUAGCGAAGGCGGCUUUCUGGACUGUAACUGACACUGAGGCACGAAAGCGUGGGGAGC